This 253-nucleotide ribosomal RNA is filed under the name uncultured bacterium. Its description in RNAcentral is "partial 16S ribosomal RNA". It matches the Rfam family "Bacterial small subunit ribosomal RNA", at positions 524 to 776 of the family's 1533-position model. RNAcentral also lists the same sequence under 1 other name. The record is from RNAcentral.
UACGGAGGGUGCAAGCGUUAUCCGGAUUCACUGGGUUUAAAGGGUGUGUAGGCGGGUAUUUAAGUCAGUGGUGAAAUCUCCGGGCUCAACCCGGAAACUGCCAUUGAUACUAUUUAUCUUGAAUCUUGUUGAGGUAGGCGGAAUAUAUCAUGUAGCGGUGAAAUGCUUAGAUAUGAUAUAGAACACCGAUUGCGAAGGCAGCUUACUAAACAGGCAUUGACGCUGAGGCACGAAAGCGUGGGGAUCAAACAGG